CCUGGUUUCGACUUGCACAUAUCCUGCUCGGUGUACAUGGACAAAGGUAUCGUGGCGUUGAAUAACGCACCAAAGAAACUUCUUCAAACAUGCAGUGUAUUUUCAAUGCAAGAAAGGCAUUGUGUGUAGAUGCCAUCCAGCCGGCUGCUCGUUCGAUGAAUAGACGGGAACCUCUAAGCUUGUGCGUGAAUGUAUUGCUUCCGCUUUUUUUUUUUUAUCGAAAAAUCAACAAAGAAAUCAGCUGCAUCUGGUGCCACAACAGCUUUUAUGAGGAUGCGUGCUUCCGCGGAGCUAGAGGUUCGGCAUUGACGAAUAUCAGCUGUAUGUACAUCUUGUUUGUUUGUUCUGUGCUUUCUUCAUAACAAACGAGUCUGUAUUAACAUGUAGUCUGCAUGAACAGCUACGUUUUGGACGGACAGAGGAAAUGCGCACAUGAUUGGUAUCA
Long non-coding RNA from Anopheles coustani, 445 nucleotides. RefSeq lists it as uncharacterized. The transcript has 4 exons. The record is from RefSeq and is a predicted model, not a curated record. NCBI's taxonomy places the organism in Eukaryota, Metazoa, Arthropoda, Insecta, Diptera, Culicidae.